This 437-nucleotide ribosomal RNA is filed under the name Nobarnus picarti. RNAcentral describes it as "partial 16S ribosomal RNA". Lineage: Eukaryota; Metazoa; Arthropoda; Insecta; Hemiptera; Tingidae. The record is from RNAcentral.
UUCUUUUUGUUUUAUAAAUAAAAGGUAGGACCUGCUCAAUGAAAUUUUAAAUAGCCGCGGUUAUUAAUCGUGCAAAGGUAGCAUAAUAAUUUGUUUCUUAAUUAGGAUCUAGAAUGAAUGGUUUAACAAAGAAGUAACUUUUUUAAUUGAUUUUUUUUGAAUUUUAUAUUUUAGUAAAAAAGCUAAAAUUGUUUUAUGGGACGAUAAGACCCUAUAAAAUUUAAUUUAUAAAUUUAAUUAAUAUUAAUAAGAUAAAUAAAUUUUAUUAAUUUUAUAAAUUUGGUUGGGGUGACUAUUAAAUUUUAAUAACUUUAAUUUAAUCUUUUCAUUAAUUUGUGAUUAAUUGAUCCCUAAAAUUUAGGAUUAAAAGAUUAAAUUACUUUAGGGAUAACAGCGUAAUUUUCUUUAGGAGUUCUUAUUUAAAAGAAAGUUUGCGA